GAUGAACGCUAGCGGGAGGCUUAACACAUGCGAGCCGAGGGGUAUAGUUCUUUCGGGAACUAGAGACCGGCGCACGGGUGCGUAACGCGUAUGCAACUUGCCCUACUGAAAAGGAUAGCCCUUCGAAAGGAGGAUUAAUACUUUAUAACAGAUUUAAUGGCAUCAUUAGAUUUUGAAAGAUUUAUCGCAGUAGGAUAGGCAUGCGUAAGAUUAGUUAGUUGGUGAGGUAACGGCUCACCAAGACGAUGAUCUUUAGGGGGCCUGAGAGGGUGAACCCCCACACUGGUACUGAGACACGGACCAGACUCCUACGGGAGGCAGCAGUGAGGAAUAUUGGACAAUGGGUGGAAGCCUGAUCCAGCCAACCCGCGUGUAGGAUGACGGCCUUAUGGGUUGUAAACUACUUUUAUCUGGGGAUAAACCUACUUACGUGUAAGUAGCUGAAGGUACCAGAAGAAUAAGCACCGGCUAACUCCGUG
This 479-nucleotide ribosomal RNA is filed under the name uncultured bacterium. Its description in RNAcentral is "partial 16S ribosomal RNA". It matches the Rfam family "Bacterial small subunit ribosomal RNA", at positions 28 to 507 of the family's 1533-position model. The record is from RNAcentral.